CCUACGGGAGGCAGCAGUGGGGAAUAUUGCGCAAUGGGCGAAAGCCUGACGCAGCGACGCCGCGUGAGGGAUGAAGGUCUUCGGAUCGUAAACCUCUGUCAGCAGGGAAGCACGGUCACUGUACUAAUCAGCAGUGAAUUGACGGUACCUGCAAAGGAAACACCGGCUAACUCCGGGCCAGCAGCCGCCGUAAUACGGAGGGUGCGAGCGUUAAUAGGAAUUAGUGGGCGUAAAGCGCUCGUAGGCGGGAUGGCAAGUCAAGGGUGAAAUCCCCGCGCUCAACGUGGGAACUGCCUUUGAGACUGGAAAACUUGAGGGUGUGAGAGGGUAGUGGAAUUGUAGGUGUAGGAGUGAAAUCCGGAGA
RNAcentral lists this ribosomal RNA (364 nucleotides) under uncultured bacterium. RNAcentral describes it as "partial 16S ribosomal RNA". It matches the Rfam family "Bacterial small subunit ribosomal RNA", at positions 338 to 694 of the family's 1533-position model. The record is from RNAcentral.